UACGGGGGGGGCAAGCGUUGUUCGGAAUUACUGGGCGUAAAGGGUUCGUAGGUGGCUUGCUAAGUCAGACGUGAAAUCCCUCAGCUUAACUGGGGAACUGCGUCUGAUACUGGCGAGCUUGAGUGCGGGAGAGGAACGCAGAAUUCCAGGUGUAGCGGUGAAAUGCGUAGAUAUCUGGAGGAACACCGGUGGCGAAGGCGGCAUUCUGGACCACAACUGACACUGAGAGACGAAAGCCAGGGGAGCAAACGGG
Molecule: ribosomal RNA, 253 nt
Filed under: uncultured bacterium
Lineage: Bacteria
Description: partial 16S ribosomal RNA
Rfam family: Bacterial small subunit ribosomal RNA
Source: RNAcentral